Molecule: ribosomal RNA, 253 nt
Filed under: uncultured bacterium
Lineage: Bacteria
Description: partial 16S ribosomal RNA
Rfam family: Bacterial small subunit ribosomal RNA
Source: RNAcentral
UACGUAGGUGGCAAGCGUUGUCCGGAUUUAUUGGGCGUAAAGCGCGCGCAGGCGGUUUCUUAAGUCUGAUGUGAAAGCCCACGGCUUAACCGUGGAGGGUCAUUGGAAACUGGGAGACUUGAGUGCAGAAGAGGAAAGUGGAAUUCCAAGUGUAGCGGUGAAAUGCGUAGAGAUUUGGAGGAACACCAGUGGCGAAGGCGACUUUCUGGUCUGUAACUGACGCUGAGGCGCGAAAGCAUGGGGAGCAAACAGG